Molecule: ribosomal RNA, 460 nt
Filed under: uncultured bacterium
Lineage: Bacteria
Description: partial 16S ribosomal RNA
Rfam family: Bacterial small subunit ribosomal RNA
Source: RNAcentral
CCUACGGGAGGCAGCAGUGAGGAAUAUUGGUCAAUGGACGCAAGUCUGAACCAGCCAUGCCGCGUGCAGGUAGACGGCUCUAUGAGUUUUAAACUGCUUUUGUACGAGGCUAUAUCCCGAUCCGUUUAUCGGGCUGAAAGUAUCGUACGAUUAAGGAUCGGCUAAUUCCGUGCCAGAAGCCGCGGUAUUACGGAGGUUUAAAGCGUUAUCCGGAUUUAUUGGGUUUACAGGGUGCGUAGGCGGUACGACAAGUUAGAGGUGAAAUCCCGGGGCUCAACUCCGGGACUGCCUGUGAAACUGUCGGGCUAGAGUUUAGUUGCGGUAGGCGGAAUGUAUGGUGUAGCGGUGAAAUGCAUAGAGAUCAUACAGAACACCGAUUGCGAAGGCAGCUUACCAAACUACGACUGACGUUGAGGCACGAAAGCGUGGGGAGCAAACAGGAUUAGAUACCCGGGUAGUC